Long non-coding RNA from Megalobrama amblycephala (Wuchang bream), 734 nucleotides. RefSeq lists it as uncharacterized. The record is from RefSeq and is a predicted model, not a curated record. Lineage: Eukaryota; Metazoa; Chordata; Actinopteri; Cypriniformes; Xenocyprididae. The transcript has 3 exons.
UGGGAGCUGUAGUUGUAGCAUGCACAAUAAGGAGCGUUCCAUGAAACCCCAACGUGCUCCGAAGGGCGAGACCAGCUUAGACACACACUGCUGUGCCAGUCACAAGCCUUCCUCUUGCAACCCUCCCCUCCAUCCAUACUUCCACUACAAAAGAGCAAGAGCAGCCCUAUCGUUCAGAGUAAAAGCUCUGUAAGAGCUACUAAAACGUGAAACCGAUCGACAGUAAAACCGUGAGAGAGAGAGAGAGAGAAAGAGAGUCAUUUAUUCUAGAGACGGAGGCGGAAGGACCCAGGUCAUAUCAGAAUGUGCGGAGCCGCCACUUUUAAUUUGGAAAUAUAAACAACUGUCUAGGUGAGCGAUUUACCUUCGACCCUCAUUUAGCGUACCCUAGAACCUGCCAUAGGAGCUUAUAACAACAGACAGCACCAAGCCCGGCUGUCUCCAGAAUCAUUGGAGGUGUUGUCUUCACGUCUACAGCCGGUGGAAAAGAAUCGGGCCGGGACAGAAUUCAUGUUCAUGGAUGAGAUUAUUAACGUUGAAGCAAGGCAGGGCCGAGAGAAAUGAGGCUGCUGGAGAAAUUUCAAAUGAGAAACAAGCACGACACAUGUCUGGAGAGCAGCAAAACUUUUAUUAUGCUGCAAUCACCGCUUCCGAUUCUUCUGGUCAAGCAUAUGUGGGUCUGACUGUCUCUCAGCAACCACUGCAUAUGAUGUGACAGCAUGGAGCUUCUUUAA